GAUCCUGGCUCAGGACGAACGCUGGCGGCGUGCCUAACACAUGCAAGUCGAGCGGAGACAGUGAGUAGCUUGCUAUGAGCUGUUUUAGCGGCGGACGGGUGAGUAACGCGUGAGCAACCUUUCCCAGACAGGGGAAUAACACACCGAAAGGUGUACUAAUACCGCAUAAGACCACGGGAUCACAUGGUUCUGGGGUAAAAGAAUUAUCGGUUUGGGGUGGGUUCGCGUCCGAUUAGGUAGUUGGUGAGGUAACGGCCCACCAAG
Molecule: ribosomal RNA, 264 nt
Filed under: uncultured bacterium
Lineage: Bacteria
Description: partial 16S ribosomal RNA
Rfam family: Bacterial small subunit ribosomal RNA
Source: RNAcentral